RNAcentral lists this ribosomal RNA (325 nucleotides) under Pseudo-nitzschia multiseries. Its description in RNAcentral is "partial large subunit ribosomal RNA". It matches the Rfam family "Eukaryotic large subunit ribosomal RNA", at positions 207 to 540 of the family's 3401-position model. The record is from RNAcentral. Lineage: Eukaryota; Bacillariophyta; Bacillariophyceae; Bacillariales; Bacillariaceae.
AGAGGGUGAAACUCCCGUCCGCCUGGUAGAAUGAGUCUUUGUCAACGAGUCGAGUUGUUUGGGAUUGCAGCUCUAAUUUGGUGGUAAAUUCCAUCUAAAGCUAAAUAUUGGUGGGAGACCGAUAGCGUACAAGUACCAUGAGGGAAAGAUGCAAAGAACUUUGAAAAGAGAGUUAAAGAGUACCUGAAACUGCUGAAACGGAAGCGAAGGAAACCAGUGUUUGUUUGUUCAUAUUUCCCUAGCCACUUGUGGCUUGGGCGCUGUGGGCUUGCGUGAGUUUGGGUUGGUUGAUUCCUUUGGAAGAGCGCAGUCAGAGUUGAUGUCU